CACAACUCAUCAGGAAGCAGCACAGACAAGGAAGGACAGAGUGUUGGAAUUUGGCAUGGUUUGUGCAGCAGGAGAAGGACUCUAGUUACACACAGCUCUGCCCAGACCCUCGUGUGGGUGUCAUAUGGACAUGGAUGCAUCAGGCCAUUUGGACAUGGUGCCUCAGACAUAAGAAAUCACCUCACUGCCCUCUCUUGCUGUGAAACUCUGCUUACAGGCAAGAAGCUGAUUCCAGUUGGGGGGCUUGCCUACAAAGAAACGAUGGCUGGACAUGAGUUUCCAGUCCCCAGGAGAGGUCAAUUCCACUUGCUAAGUAACCUGCUCAGGGUCACACUGCUGGGAAGUGGAAGAGCUGGGAUGCAAGCUGAGGUUCUCCUGACUUCUGGCUAUGCUGCUUGGGUAGCCAGCAAACCUCCCCAGGAUUCUUCUCUGCUGACCACUCUUAGCACUGAACACACAGUCCAUGUCAGGUCAAAGAAGUGGAAUUCAAAAGCAAAGCCAGAAGGCGUCCAUCCUCCGGAAAGUCAAACAAGGAAGGUAACACUAAGGGAAGAGGCUCCCACUCAGACCAUUGUGAGGAGAAGAUCCGACCAGUGAUUACACCGGCUCCAGCUUCAUUCUCCAAGAGGAGAGAGCCCCGCCCUUGAAAAAGCCCAAAGAAACAGAAAAGACCAAGAAAGGGUUUCUGCACUUGAGAAGUUCAAAAGCCUGUAUUUCAUUUUACUCACAUAACCACAGAAGUCUCCCCCAUCACACCCAACGGCUGCAGCUCGGCCUCUGCCAAGCCACAACCAAAGGAAAAGCCAGAAGGAAAACACUUUCUGACACAGGAGA
Molecule: long non-coding RNA, 834 nt
Filed under: Equus caballus (horse)
Lineage: Eukaryota; Metazoa; Chordata; Mammalia; Perissodactyla; Equidae
Description: lncRNA (ENSECAG00000040188.3)
Source: RNAcentral